AUAUCUUUGUCUUAUGUUUCUUGUUUAUUUAACUUCGUGCCUAAGCCAAAAAACAAAUUGGGACAGAGAGAAUAUCAAAGUUUAAAUAUUGAAAUUGUUAGAAAUGGGAUAAAAAUGACAUGUUGUCAAUAUCCAAAUGGGUAGGAGUGUCGUACAAACUACGCCUAAACGAAAUAAGCAAUUAUACAUACGAGCAAUUCAGCAGCGAAAUGGGGUUGGCGGAGGGGUUUGAGGAGGAGCAGACAAAGGCGGGUGACGAAUAGAACAAUAGCAAGUUGAAAGAUAAAGAUUGGGAGUUUGGAAUCCAAAGGGUUGAUUUCUUCCCAAAUGCCAUUGUCGGUAACCGUAUCUGUCAUAUAACACAAUUUGUCAACACCCGCCACUGGUUUCCCUCGGACAUUAUACGAUGGAAUAUCUGGGGUCUUCAAGAAAUUCGGAUUAACCAUUUUGCUUUAGAUCUCCCGGGGAGGCACUCUGGCGACAAUUGAAGCUGCCACCUUUUGGCCGUUUUCGGUGCAUAAAACGGAAAAGAAAAGCUGAGAAAAAAUGUUGAGACGUGAGAAAAUCUCCUUAGAUCAUGCAUGAUUGAUUUUUCUCAGAAAACGUACAAAUGGAUGGAUUGCCGUUCUGCAUGGGUUUCAUUAGUUGAUCCAAAAUGAGCGUGAAGGAAAUGAAAUAAAAGGAAGAAAAAACAAAAAGAGGAGGAAAAGGUGAUGAUGUGGCAUGCUUUACUCCAUUAUUUUUUUUACUUUUCUUCUAUUUCCAAAAGGAAAGUAUAUACGUUUAAAAUCGGUCAUCGAUCAUGAAGAUCGAUCGACGAUGGCAUCUCAGUCAAGGGGUAUCUACAUGGAGAGCUCGAACGAAUUCCGAGAUUGGGGCGUCGAGCGUCGGGGCGUCCGAAUCGACUGAGGCAACAUCGACCGACACAGGUCCCGAACAUCGAUGCCCGAAAGUGAUCAUCAAGCUCGAAACCAAGGCCGAGGUUCCGAUCUGACACCGAGCUCGAGUCAGUAUCGAGUUCGCAGACAAAAAGCUGUUACAACCGCACCAAAGGAGAGAAUCUUGGCGGGAAUUAAAGAGGAGACACACCAUCAUGAGUCCUCCACUAGUAAUAUUAUUCUAUUAUGUUGUUAUAGAAAAAGUAGUGAUCUUUGGCUAUAAAAAGGAAGAUAGAUUGUAAUAGAAGGGAUCUUCUCUAGAAUAUCAAGAAUUCAUUGUGUUUAUCUUUCUAAGCUCACUAAGUAUCUUUGUUCAUCAUUUCUAUUUCACAUAACAAAUACGUGUAUUGUUAUCUUCAGGUCAAAGGAAUCUACCUAUCCUUAGAACCAUACACAAAUUCAGCGUUAUCCGAUUUUCGGGUAAAAAGAAAGAUGUAACGGUUGUAACUCUCCUUUUUAUUUGAAUCAGUUCAACACUUCACAUUCAUUUUGCAUGAAUAGGUGUACCCCUUUUCAUUUUUCAUACUGAUCAAAUGAAUAUUAACUUCACUGAGGGGAAAUGCUAGGACUUUUACCAAUACCACAUGCAAAUAAUUGAUCCAAUGCACUAUAUUAUAUCUGCUUUUUACUCCAGAUUUUUCUUACUGGUAAAAUUAAUUGUUAUUGUUAUCCGCUUUGACAGUUGACCAAAAUUAGGUGAUCAUAUAGCAUAGAAAUUCUUUUUUUUGUUGAGUAUAUCAGGUUUGUUUUCCUUUGUAAUCGAGAAAGUUUGCCUGAUUUAUUGCAAUUAAAAAUGCUCAUUUCUUCUCUUUUGUAUUCUCUUUCACUUUGAGGAAUGGUGAGGAAAGAACAUAAACAAAGGAGACAUCACAAAAACUUGCGGAAGUGAUGCAAUGAAAUUAGAGAAGCAGAAUCGUCACAAGAGUUAUAACCUGCCUUCUUUUUCUGGUAAGAACUCUUCCCACUUUUGAUUAUUUGGAUUUAUGAGCAUGAACAUAAUCAAAAUAACAAUUAUAUAUUCCAUUUUAUCUAUAAGUUAAAGAGCUCAUUUUGCUUGAAAAAUGAAGAAACAAAUAAGAGAUAAUAUGAACACACAUGAUUAAAGCACACAGCGCUCUUUAGGUGAUUUUUAUUGCUUUUGCGAAUCAAAUAUGAAAGAAAAAGAGUACAUAAAGCUAAGUAUUAAUUUAUACUGGUCCUUCUAUAAAAAUUACCAAAAUUUGACCUCUUCUUUUGUAUUCUCAUUCGGCAUAUCCUUCUUUUUCAGGGAAAUACAUAUCCUUCUCUCUUAGGGAAAUACAAAGAUAUCUUUUAUAAAAAGGUAUAUUGAAACUAAAACUUAUAAUAAUUUUUAUAUAUUUACUAUUUCUUCCUGUUAGAAUAAAUUGCGAGGUGGGAAUAACAAAUUGUGUACCUUUAUAAUGCAGCACAGAUCUUUGAACUCACCAUCGAAGAAUAAGUUGCUCCAUGUCAAACAUCGAUUCAGUAAACAGAGUUAGUAUCUCACAAACUAGAUGUGUUUAUUGUGUGUGUUUUUGGGAGGUAAAGCCAGAGAAAUCUUAUACAUGUAGAAAGGUAUAACGACCCGACCAGUUAUUUUGAGCGUUAGCGUUCCUAUCAAUUGUUCGAGGUCUUGAGUAGCUUUAUAUUGUGUAUUAUGACUUGCGUUUAUGGUCGGAUUCAAUUUUCGGAUGUUUCGGACUUUAUUUGGAUGAGUGGUUAUUAUUUUAGAAGCUUAAGUUGGAAAUGUUGAUCGAGAUUUGACUUUUGUAAAAAUAACCCCGGAACAGUAUUUUUAUGGCUCCGAUAGGUUUGUGUUUUGAUUUUAGAAUUGGGCAUAUACCCGAAACUGAAUUCGGAGGUCCCUGGUUGAUUUGGCUUGUUUUGCCGAAAGUUGGCAAUUUAAAGGUUUAAUUUUUUUAUGUCUAACUAUGGUUUGACUUUAUGACUAUCAUGUUCGGAUUUCAGUUUUGGGAGUUAGAAUAGGUACGUUUUGUUAUUUGAAACUUGUUUGUAAAGUUUUGCGUCAUUCCGAUUUGAUUUGAUAGAAAUCGGACGAGUGGUUGUGUUUUUAGAAGUUCUUGAGUUUCAAUUAAAAUUUCAUGCAUUUUGAUGUCUGAUUCACGGUUCUAGAUGUUAUUUUGGUAUUUUGAUAGCGUGAGCGAGUUCAUAUGAUAUUUGUAGACUUGUGUGGAUGUUUGGUUUGGAGCCCCGAGGGUUCGGGUGAGUUUCUGAUGCGUUUCGGAGUGUUUGGAAGAGUUGCAGUUUUGCUAGUUUUUGAAUAGGUGCUGCAGGUCUCACAAAUGCGAGAUUUUGUUCGCAUUUGCGACCUCCACAUUUGCGAGGUGGGAGUCUCAUUUGUGAAGCUCACUAGGUGUGUUAGGUUCCAUUAGCGAAUAUUUUGUUUUCUUUUGUGAUUGGGGUCUGGGCUAGGUAGGAACGCAAUUGCGAUCAUUUGGUCGUUUUUGCGAAAUGUUCAAUGUUCGCAUUUGCGACAUUAGCAGGGCUAUGAUGGAUGUCGCUUUUGUGAUCAUUUUUUGCAUUUGAGGGGUUCACAUUUGCGAACCCUAAGUCGCAUUUGCGACACCUGCUCUAGAACAUUAAGGCUGCAAGACGGGAUUUUGGUCUCAUUUUUCAUAUCUUGAACCCUACACUCGGUAGGAGGCGAUUUGGAGAGUGUAUUUUCAUCUACAAUCAUUGAGUAAGUGAUUUUCAAAAAUUUAUAAUUAUAUUACAUGAUUAUAUAUGAGAUUUAACAUCAAAAAUUUGAGAAUCAAAGUGAAAUUUUGGAAAACCUUUGUCUAUGUUUUGAAAAAUAAAAAUUUGGGAUUUGAGUGUGGAAUGGGACUCGGAUUUUGAAGAAAAAUACAUAUAUAGACUCGUGGGAUUAUGGGUAGUCGAUACCUACCCUUGGACCCGGGUGUUGACCGGGCGGGCCCAACGUUGAUUUUUGUUGACUUUUGAGGAAUUGUAUAAAGAUCUUAGCUUUACUUAUUGGAAUUGGUUUCUCUUGCAUUAUUUGAUGUUAUUAAGUCGAUUUUUAUUAGAUUUGAGCCGAGCGAAGGUGAAUUGUAAAGGAAAAGCUAUUUUUGAGUGUUGAUUUGGCCUAGUUGAGGUAUGUUUCUUGCCUAAUUUUGUGUGGGAGAACUAACCCAUAGGGAUUGGUUUGAUUGCACUAUUUGAAUUACGUGAAAGAUGUGUAUACGAGAUGAUGAGUGUGUACACGAUUUUAUAUGUGGAAAUUUGACCUGUUUAGAUUUUUAGGUUUCUUAUGUACAUUAAAUUGAAGUUUCCAUAUCAUGUUAUAUCCUCAAUUGUUAACUUUACUCUUACAUGCUUUUAUUGAAGUUGUUAGUAUAUGUUAUAUCUCUUAUUGCCAAAUAUACUUUUAUAUGCUUUAAUUGAAAUUGUUGCUUCUUUUAUUGUCAUGUUAUCUCUUCCAUUGUUGAUUUAUUCUUAUUUGAAGUCGUUCCCACAUGUUAUCUCUUUUAUUGUUGAGUUAUUCUUAUUUGAAGUCAUUAUUACUUGUUAUCUUUGUCGUUGUUGAGCUUAUUCUUCUGCUACAUUGUGUUGUUGAAAUUCUUAUGUUGAUUACUUAUCGUACUCUCGUGUUAUUAUCAUUGUUGUUGUACUCAGUGUUGUUGAACUAUGAGCUAUGCGUGGUUGUGGUAUUGGAAUUGUUGUUAUGGAAAUAGUGUGGCAUACGAGCACAUGUGGCGCGAGUUGUUAUAUUGUGUUGUAAUAUUUCUUUUGGCUCAUGUGGAAUUGUUGAGAGGAUUGUCAGGGUGUUUGCACGUGAUUUGACAAUGCUAUUGUUAUUCUUGAUAUUUUCACAUGCGGCGAGACAAGGCAGGCUAUAUAUGUUGGGUUUGCGCAUGUGGCGAGACAAGAUGGGAUAAUUACUAUGCGUAUGUGGCGAGACAAUGGGGCUAUGUCGGGAAUGAUAUGUGAUGGCCUAGGGGUAUUGUUAUUGAUGAUAUUUGUGUGGUGGUGUGACCUUCUUGUGUGCGUCAUGCAUAUUACGGAUUUUGUUAUGUUGUUUCCAAUGUGCUACUCGGUGUCUCUGAUUUUACCUGUUGACUUGAACUGUGAUAGUACACUUGCACAAACAUACACCGUAACAUGCCACUUAUAUCAGUCCAAGAGUAUGAAUCUUGAUGUUUAUUGAUCAUGUACAUAAAUUCUUGUAUACCUUCCUUCUAUGUGUGGAUUGAACUGUUGGCACGUGAGUUGUCCGUGCGGAUAUGAGGUAUUGUUACAAUCGGCACAUGAGUUGUCCGUACGAAUAUGAGGUAUUGUUACCAUUGGUACGUGAGUUGUCCAUGCAGAUCUGAGGCAUUAAUGGUUAUUGGCACGUGAGUGGCCAGUGCAUCACGUGAGUUGUCCGUGCAGUUGUGAUUGGUAAUGUGGGUAAGAGAUUCUAUGUGAUUAUGAUUUAUGAUUUGGGACCUGUGACUUGUGAUUAUGAGGUGUAGUACCCGGUGGUGAUUCUUAUGUAAACCUUGUGGAAGAACGAUUGAUUAUUUGGUUGUCAUUUGUUUUACUUAAUUGAGUUCAAUAAGACUUUAACUGUGUUAUGAUUACUUUGCGGUGUUAUAACCUGUUUACUCCUCGUUGUUGUUUGUUGCUUCUACUUUCCAUUUGCUAGUGUCAUAUUGUUAUUCAUUCCAUGCUUAGUUUAUAUUGAUAUUCGUUCCUCUGUUAGUUUAUACUAAUACUUGCACAAGUUAUUAUGUCUAGUAGGUGUCUCGACUGUACCUCGUCGCUACUCCACCGAGGUUACUCUUGAUACUUACUGGGUACCGUUGUGAUGUACUCAUGCUACGCUUCUGCAUAUCUUUUGUGCAGAUACAGGUACCUCUGAGC
Molecule: long non-coding RNA, 5804 nt
Filed under: Nicotiana tabacum (common tobacco)
Lineage: Eukaryota; Viridiplantae; Streptophyta; Magnoliopsida; Solanales; Solanaceae
Description: long non-coding RNA (NTAB_LNC012965)
Source: RNAcentral